UCGAACGAAAGUUUUUAACUUUAGUGGCGAACGGGUGCGUAAUACGUGAGAAUCUGCCCUUAGGAGGAGGAUAACUGCUGGAAACGGCUGCUAACACUCCAUAUGUCGAGAGAUGAAAUAAUUUAUUGCCUAAGGAUGAGCUCGCGCCUGAUUAGCUAGUUGGUGAGGUAAUGGCUCACCAAGGCCACGAUCAGUAGCUGGUUUGAGAGAACGAUCAGCCACACUGGGACUGAGACACGGCCCAGACUCCUCCGGGAGGCAGCAGUGAGGAAUUUUCCGCAAUGGGCGAAAGCCUGACGGAGCAAUACCGCGUGAGGGAUGAAGGAUUUUGGUCUGUAAACCUCUUUUCUCAAGAAAGAAGUUCUGACGGUACUUGAGGAAUAAGCAUCGGCUAACUCCGUGCCAGCAGCCGCGGUAAUACGGGGGAUGCAAGCGUUAUCCGGAAUCAUUGGGCGUAAAGCGCCUGUAGGUUGUUUAAUAAGUCUGUUGUUAAAGACUAGGGCUUAACCCUAGGAAAGCAAUGGAAACUACUAGACUAGAGUAUGGUAGGGGUAGAGGGAAUUUCUAGUGUAGCGGUGAAAUGCGUAGAUAUUAGAAAGAACACCGGUGGCGAAAGCGCUCUACUGGACCAUUACUGACACUCAGAGGCGAAAGCUAGGGUAGCAAAAGGGAUUAGAUACCCCUGUAGUCCUAGCCGUAAACGAUGGAUACUAGAUGUUGUGCCUAGUGGACAGUAUCGUAGCUAACGCGUUAAGUAUCCCGCCUGGGGAGUACGCUCGCAAGGGUGAAACUCAAAGGAAUUGACGGGGGCCCGCACAAGCGGUGGAGCAUGUGGUUUAAUUCGAUGCAACGCGAAGAACCUUACCAGGGCUUGACAUACUACAGAUCCUUUUGAGAAAAAGGAGUGCCUUCGGGAAUGUAGAUACAGGUGGUGCAUGGCUGUCGUCAGCUCGUGUCGUGAGAUGUUGGGUUAAGUCCCGCAACGAGCGCAACUCUUAUUUUUAGUUACUAAUUCGUUAGGUUCUCUA
Molecule: ribosomal RNA, 1028 nt
Filed under: uncultured bacterium
Lineage: Bacteria
Description: bacterial SSU rRNA
Rfam family: Bacterial small subunit ribosomal RNA
Source: RNAcentral